CGAGCGGAGCCGAGCGCCCGAGGCCGGGAGGGUAGGGGACAAGUGGAGGUGGGCCGGAAAGAAGGGGAGGACCCAAGUGAGGACGAAGUGGCCCUCUCGGAGGGGCUGUGUCACAAAGCCAUCUAUCUGAUCGUUCCCAGCUUGAAUGUUCACGUCGUCAGACACUUGUCACUUUAUCUCUUCCCUGAAGGAGAGAGGCUUCCUGAGUAUUUGCAAAGAGAUUGCUUUGUCCUGAAUUUCACUCCAGAAAUUGCAGCAACCAAGACUUCUACGACGUCUAUUAAACAGAUGGUAGGCACCCAAAUGCUAAGGGCUUUCUGCUGAGCAGUUCACUGGCGCCAGCAAGAGAGAGCAGUCUUGUGGAGAGAUUCUUAGCAGUGCUUGCUUGCCAUCCAUCCUGCCUGCAUCUUAGAACAGAGACACCCGUUCCCAGGAGCAGAAUCAUGUGGCCGUAACUCUGCCCCAGCUCUGCUAUUAACUUCCUGGGUUAUAGAAUCUGGCUUCCAUCUUGUAUUCCCUGUAUGACCUUAACUCUCUGUAGAGCCCAGAUUUCUCGCCUGUAAAAUGGGGCCGGUAGUAAUGCUGCUAGCUCAAUAGGGGCACUUUAUUAACUCUUUUGUUUACUUCAUAUCUGGGAUCACCUAUCUAAAUUCAUUGCCUGGGUUGGAGUUAGCCCAAUCUAACAAAACAAAUUUAUACAUUUAUAUCUCUAUGGGCAUAUGAUUCUCUAGAUAAACGAUUGAGAUAUAUACCCUUUCUCUCUUUUUUCUUUUUCUUUGAGGUGGUCUCACUGUGUAGCUUUGGCUGACCUCACACUCACAGAGAUCUGCCUACCUCUGCCUCCUGAAUGCUGGGACUAAUGGCAUGGACCAUCAUGCCCAAGUGUGCAUGUGUGUUUCUGUGUGUGUGUGUGUGUGUGUGUGUGUGUGUGUGUGUUUGUCUGUUCCUUUGUGUAGAUAUGCAUGUCUGUGGAUGUCCUUAGGGUUGUCAACUGGGUUUUGUGUGUGCAGGUACAUGGGGCCAGAGGUUGAUGUUGUAUCUUCCUUAGUCUCUUUCCAUCUUGAGACCCACUCUCAAAACAAAGAAAAAGAAAAAAGAAAAGUGAACAGCAAUGGAGGAAAGACACCCAAUGUCAACUAACCUCUGUCCUUCACAUGCACACACAAUGUACACAAGCAUACACCCACACUAAUAACUACACACAUAAUAUACAUCCCUCCUACAACUUCUUAAAUAAAAAAAAUUUUAAAUCCA
Long non-coding RNA from Meriones unguiculatus (Mongolian gerbil), 1254 nucleotides. RefSeq lists it as uncharacterized. NCBI's taxonomy places the organism in Eukaryota, Metazoa, Chordata, Mammalia, Rodentia, Muridae. The record is from RefSeq and is a predicted model, not a curated record. The transcript is spliced from 2 exons.